UCCGGCUUGACGCCGGCAGUCUCGCUAGAGUCCUCAGCAUUACCUGUUAGCAACUAACGACAAGGGUUGCGCUCGUUAAUGGACUUAACCAAACACUUCACAGCACGAGCUGACGACAGCCAUGCAGCACCUGUGCACGUUCCAACCUUGCGGUUGUCAUCGCUGUUUCCAACGACUAAUCCGUGCAUGUCAAACCCGGGUAAGGUUCUUCGCGUUGCUUCGAAUUAAGCAACAUGCUCCACCGCUUGUGUGAGCCCCCGUCAAUUUCUUUGAGUUUUAGCCUUGCGACCGUACUCCCCAGGCGGCACAUUUAGCAAUUUCUCUACGACCAAUACGACGUCAGAGUCGCAUCGGUCUAAUGUGCAUCGUUUAGGGCGUGGACUAC
This 385-nucleotide unclassified non-coding RNA is filed under the name uncultured Phycisphaeraceae bacterium. RNAcentral describes it as "contains 16S-23S intergenic spacer region". The record is from RNAcentral. Lineage: Bacteria; Pseudomonadati; Planctomycetota; Phycisphaerae; Phycisphaerales; Phycisphaeraceae.